AAUGGGCGCAAGCCUGAUCCAGCAAUGCCGCGUGCAGGAUGAAGGCCUUCGGGUUGUAAACUGCUUUUGUACGGAACGAAAAAGCUCUCUCUAAUACAGGGGGUGAAUGACGGUACCGUAAGAAUAAGCACCGGCUAACUACGUGCCAGCAGCCGCGGUAAUACGUAGGGUGCAAGCGUUAAUCGGAAUUACUGGGCGUAAAGCGUGCGCAGGCGGUUUUGUAAGACAGAGGUGAAAUCCCCGGGCUCAACCUGGGAACUGCCUUUGUGACUGCAAAGCUGGAGUGCGGCAGAGGGGGAUGGAAUUCCGCGUGUAGCAGUGAAAUGCGUAGAUAUGCGGAGGAACACCGAUGGCGAAGGCAAUCCCCUGGGCCUGCACUGACGCUCAUGCACGAAAGCGUGGGGAGCAAACA
This 412-nucleotide ribosomal RNA is filed under the name uncultured bacterium. RNAcentral describes it as "bacterial SSU rRNA". It matches the Rfam family "Bacterial small subunit ribosomal RNA", at positions 370 to 774 of the family's 1533-position model. The record is from RNAcentral.